RNAcentral lists this non-coding RNA (132 nucleotides) under Buceros rhinoceros silvestris. Its description in RNAcentral is "Eukaryotic large subunit ribosomal RNA". It matches the Rfam family "Eukaryotic large subunit ribosomal RNA", at positions 819 to 950 of the family's 3401-position model. The record is from Rfam by way of RNAcentral. Lineage: Eukaryota; Metazoa; Chordata; Aves; Bucerotiformes; Bucerotidae.
AAAGAUGGUGAACUAUGCCUGGGCAGGGAGAAGCCAGACAAAACUCUGGUGGAAGUCCAUGGCAGUGCUGAUGUGCAAACCAGUCAUCUGACCCGGGUCUAGGGAUGAAAGACUAAUCGAACCAUCUAGUAG